AAAAUGACAAAGAAGUGCACUACAGCAUUCGACAUUAAAUAAACAGCGGUUCUAUUCGUGUGACAUGUUCUUGGAAGAAAAUUAAAGAAACAGUGACAAAGAAAUGCACUGCUGAUCGUGAAGUACUCUCACGUUAUAAAAAUGUUAGUGUGCAUUUCAUAUACAGUACCAUUCAAAUGGAUCGAUUCGAUACUUUUUUUUUUUCGAUUUCCAUGUUUCUCUGAAUCACUCCGAGUACCGCGUAUUUCACUUCCAAAGUCCCCCAAAGAUUCUCUCCUAAUACCACAUGGCUGUUAAUUGGUUUAUUGCCUAUCGGAUGUACUAAAAAUCAACGACGCAUGACAACAUAAUCGGAUUACCCAGAUAAUUUACAUAUGUACAUUUAACCGAUCUUGAUUGCAUAGGUGUGCUUUAAAAUCACGG
This 423-nucleotide long non-coding RNA is filed under the name Mytilus galloprovincialis (Mediterranean mussel). Lineage: Eukaryota; Metazoa; Mollusca; Bivalvia; Mytilida; Mytilidae. The record is from RNAcentral.